GUCAUGCUGGUUUAGUGGUUAGUGCAGUUGCCUUGCACCCCCAGGGUUGGGGGUUCGAUUCCCACGUGUGUGU
Molecule: non-coding RNA, 73 nt
Organism: Pangasius djambal
Lineage: Eukaryota; Metazoa; Chordata; Actinopteri; Siluriformes; Pangasiidae
Source: the annotation of a GenBank genome assembly